CGUGAGUGAUGAAGGCUUUCGGGUCGUAAAGCUCUGUCAAGUGGGAAGAACCUGCAGUAUGCUAAUAUCAUAUUGCACUGACGGUACCACUGAAGGAAGCACCGGCUAACUCCGUGCCAGCAGCCGCGGUAAUACGGGGGGUGCAAGCGUUAUUCGGAAUCAUUGGGCGUAAAGGGCACGUAGGCGGCCUGGUAAGUCAGAUGUGAAAGCCCGGGGCUUAACCCCGGAAGUGCAUUUGAUACUGUCAGGCUUGAGUAUGGGAGAGGGAAGUGGAAUUCCUGGUGUAGAGGUGAAAUUCGUAGAUAUCAGGAGGAACACCGGUGGCGAAGGCGACUUCCUGGACCAAUACUGACGCUGAGGUGCGAAGGCGUGGGUAGCAAACAGGAUUAGAUACCCUGGUAGUCCACGCAGUAAACGUUGUUCACUAGGUGUAGCGGGUAUUGACCCCUGCUGCGCCGCAGUUAACGCAUUAA
This 473-nucleotide ribosomal RNA is filed under the name uncultured delta proteobacterium. RNAcentral's name for it is "bacterial SSU rRNA". It matches the Rfam family "Bacterial small subunit ribosomal RNA", at positions 400 to 863 of the family's 1533-position model. The record is from RNAcentral. Lineage: Bacteria; Deltaproteobacteria.